RNAcentral lists this transfer RNA (84 nucleotides) under Felis catus (domestic cat). It matches the Rfam family "tRNA". Rfam says of the family: Transfer RNA (tRNA) molecules are approximately 80 nucleotides in length. Their secondary structure includes four short double-helical elements and three loops (D, anti-codon, and T loops). Further hydrogen bonds mediate the characteristic L-shaped molecular structure. tRNAs have two regions of fundamental functional importance: the anti-codon, which is responsible for specific mRNA codon recognition, and the 3' end, to which the tRNAs corresponding amino acid is attached (by aminoacyl-tRNA synthetases). tRNAs cope with the degeneracy of the genetic code in two manners: having more than one tRNA (with a specific anti-codon) for a particular amino acid; and 'wobble' base-pairing, i.e. permitting non-standard base-pairing at the 3rd anti-codon position. The record is from Rfam by way of RNAcentral. Lineage: Eukaryota; Metazoa; Chordata; Mammalia; Carnivora; Felidae.
ACCUGGGUGGCUCAGUCGGUUGAGUGUCUGACUUUGGCUCAGGUCAUGAUUUCGCAGUCGUGAGUUCAAGCCCCUCAUCAGGUU